UGCGAGGUAAGUGAAAGGGGGUGAGGGUAGGAGUUAGGGAGGGGGGUAAGAGUGGGGAGUUUGGUUUCUCCUUGAAGUUGGGGUGUGCAGGGAAUUGCGAUGUAAUCAUGCUGGAAUGUAUGCAGAGUCACAUACAGACCUAUGUGAUCCAGGAAAUGAAGUGUUGGUUUCUAUUCAGAAUUCAGAUCAUUGCUGGAAAGAUGUCUUUGGAUUUGUUUAGAGCAGAAGGUGAACGUUUCUGCAUUGGGAAGAAGUUCCUGUGACAGCAGCACGGGAUGGUCAGGCAGCCUGCUUGAGCCCAGAGCUCACCUGGGAAGUUCUUGCUCUUCCUGCUGUGUGAGAGAGUGUGUGGUCCCACACCAGCCCCUUUCUGACACACCACUGGUACUGCUCCCCAGCAGGGAAGACUGGGGCUGACCUACCAUGCCUCUCUCACUGCUUCAGCCAUCCAGGUCACAGGUGACAGGGUUUCUUGAGGAGUUUGACCGAUACUCUUCCCUGGCCAAACUCAUGUCCAUCUACCACACAACGAACAGGAGCAUCUUCAACUGGACAGAGAGCCGCAUUGUUGAGUGGGAGAAAUUUGCUGAGCUGGCUAAAUAUGAGCCAGAAUCCCAGAAACCAACAGUGAAAGCGCUGCUAAUUGUGGCCUACUCGGUCAUUAUCAUCAUGUCUCUCUUUGGGAACAUGCUGGUGUGCCACGUGGUGCUGAAGAACAAGAGGAUGCAUUCAGCCACCAGCCUCUUCAUCGUCAACCUGGCAGUGUCAGACAUCAUGAUCACGCUGCUCAACACACCUUUCACCUUGGUCCGCUUUGUGAACAGCACGUGGAUUUUUGGGAAGGCCAUGUGCCACAUCAGCCGCUUUGUGCAGUACUGCUCCCUCCACGUGUCCACACUGACCCUGACGGCCAUCGCUCUGGACAGGCACCAGGUCAUCCUGAACCCGCUGAAGCAGAGGAUGUCCCUGACAAAGGGAGCUCUGAGCAUCUCUGUUAUCUGGCUGAUGGCAACCUGUUUCUCCCUGCCCCAUGCUGUCUACCAAAAGCUUUUCCAGUAUAACUACAGGGAAGCCACUGUCCGGAGUCUGUGCCUCCCUGACUUCCCCGAGCCUUCAGAGUUGGUCUGGAAGUAUCUGGACCUGUCUACCUUUCUCCUUCUUUACCUCCUGCCUCUGCUGAUCAUCACCGUCACCUACAUGCGCCUGGCCAAGAAGCUGUGGCUGCGCAAUGCCAUCGGGGACGUCACCACGCAGCAGUAUGUCACCCACCACAGGAACAAGAAGAAGAGCAUCAAGAUGCUGAUGCUGGUGGUGGUGGUCUUUGCCGUCUGCUGGUUCCCCCUGAACUGUUACGUGGUGCUGAUCUCCAGUCUGGGCAUCAAGACGAAGAACUGGCUCUAUUUCGCGCUGCACUGGUUCGCCAUGAGCAGCACCUGCUACAACCCCUUCAUCUACUGCUGGCUGAACGAGAGCUUCCGCGCGGGGCUCCGCUCCCUGCUCUGCAUCUGCCAGAAGGUGCCCCGGCCUCGGCAGCAGGCUCUGCCCCCCAGGGCCGUGUCCUGCCGCGAGGCGUGGCUGGAGCAGGCCAGGUGCAGGAAGGGACCGGCCUCCCAGGCCAGCUGCUCCACCAGGAACCUCCCGACGGCCAACACGGACCUGUGAGCCGCGGCGCUGAGGGGAGUUACCUGGCCGUGGGAGGCACCAAGGGGCAUCUCCCAGGCUCUCCUCAGGAGCCAGUAUUGCUGCUCUGUUGUUUUACUGCUGAUUUUUGGCUUGUCUUACUAUAGCCCCUCCUCUGCUUGGCAUGGUGGGCACACAGCCUCUCCAGCACUCUACCAGUAAAACCCACGCUGCAGCUGGCCCAGGGGGCAGGGAUAUGUACAGGGGACAUGGAGCUGCUCAGACAUUGUGAUCUGCUUUCAGGUUUUCCCAUUUAUUGCUAUCAGAGGGAGUGGGCCCAGGUUUCUGUCACUGGCUGUAACACGUGCCAUAACAUGGGGCUCUGCACAGCAGCAGAAACAAUCCGUGAUGACAGGUGUUUGAAGGAAGGAGUUGGACAUGCAGAUGGACUCCAUCCACAGGGAGCCUCACCAGUUAGUGUAUAGCAAAGCCUCCUACAGAGUGAGAAGGACAGAAAGGAGGGGGAUCCUAGCUUCAGGCUUCACUUGACCCCAGCUGGGCACCUUGGGUAUGCACUGCAGUGACUGCACCAGAAGAAAACAGCAGAACAAGAGGAGUGGCAGCAGGAAUGGGUGAAUACUUCAUCCCUGAGGCACUUUGCUUGGAGCUCACAAUUAUUGAACAUGGGAAUUCAAAGCUGUCUGUGCUGGUUGCCAGCACUGUGCUCCCUCAGUGUACAGAAGGGAUUGUUUUCAGUCAAAAAACAUCACUGUGAGUUUCUCAAAAUGUUAAGAUAAUCUCUAAUUAAUAAGCAUCGCCUCAUUUAAUUAGUUAAAGAAGCUAUAAUUUGUUUUUUUAUUGUUCCUCGCUCCUCACUGUUUUGGUGAACAGCUCUCAAACUGCCAUGUAUUGUCUUUAAUAUUUAUUAGGUUUGUUUUCCUUCCUUUCUUUCUUUAAAUGGCUGAAUAACCUUUUUCUGGAGGAGUCCAAGCCCUUACUCCAAAGAAGGGGUCUCUUCACACUCCCUUGAUCUUUUGCUAAUCCCUGCAGUUAUCUAUCUCUUGCUGUCAGAAAUAACCUGGCUGGUUUUCCUUGGAUCUGUCAAUCGCAGCAUCUCCUCCUUGCUGAAUUUUUCUCCCCUAAAUGGGCAGGAUGUACGAGCUGACUGUAUCGAAUCUCCGUAAUGGCUCAGCUAUCUGGACUGAUAAUUAUCAAUGCCUGAGUGAGAUUCAGAACUUUGCAAGCUUCACCCCAUGCUUCGAGGCUCCUGAAUCACUUAAGGAUGCCCUGACUCCCAGCAGCUCUCAGGCAAACAUAGAAUGAACAAUAUAUAAAAUAAAAGUAUAACCUGAGCGUCGUUUGACCAGGGCAUGGACAGUGCCUGGAGGGCAGGAGGCUGCAUCUCUGCUGGACUCCGAGCCAGGCUCUGGAAAAGGGAAUCUGUGAAACUCGGCUUCUGCUGGGUCUGAGUCAACUCAGCACAUAAAUAGAUGCUUAAACAUUCCUUAAUCUGUCUCCAUCCCGGCGGGCACCUGUGGAAUUGUCUUGCCGAGCGGCGCUGGGAUCCCAGGGAGAGCUCCCAGAGCCAGGAGCGAGGCUGUGCUCGGCUCCGGCCGGACAGGGCUGCUGGGGCAGCAGCAGCAGCAGCAGUGCACUUUGCUCCCUGCAGACACCAGCCCGGGACCCGACAGGAGUGUGGGGUGCCAGGAGAACCCGCCGGGAAGCCUCUGCCAUCAGGAGACCCCUCCCUAUCUGUGGACCGGCAGGCAAAGCCCCCCGGGAGGCAGAACCGCGAGGGAGAGUUUGGAGGGCAAAUUAUUGAAACACUGAGUCACCACAAGGCUGCUCCAGGGAAACUAUUUGAGCACACACAAAUCAGCGUGCAAAGAUCCAGCGAGACAUGUCUGAGUGAUUAACAGCCCGAAUUUAUUAAGGUUAGCUCAUGCCAAAUGCAGCAGAGUGCCUUCAGCAGAGUUGCUGAUGAAGACGAUAACAGGGAACGCAGUGCAGGGGAUACCUGAAUUCCAGAGACAAAUCCUCUUAUAUAGCCCCACCACAUAAUGAACAAAGAAACCACAACAUGCCAACUAGAUUAACAAAAAGCUAGCAGAAAAACCCCCACAAUGAGUCAGAAAAUUAGCUCAGGAAGGAGAGACAGAAUACAAUUAUCAUCACUUAGCUCUUCAAGUGGAAAACAGUAUGGAGGGGCUGGCCAAAGCAUGCUGCAGGGGGGAAUGUCCUCAGUUAAAUCCAGCUUAAGCCCUGGAUGUUGGGGUGUAGGUGGCCCAGUGUCAAACCAUCAUCAUCUUGCACUGAGAAGUAACUCAGCAUCUUAGGUCAAUCACAGAGCAGGGAAGGAAGAGGGAGGAAGGAGCCUGGUCCUUACCUGGGAGACUGGAUGUGAAGGCACACCCCGAAUUCCCGCGUGGGAGGUGAUGUGCAGCCGCCCUGUGCCCCAGGCAGCAGCAAAGGCUCUCCCUUGAGCCGGGGCACACGGCUCUGCUCUCUCACUGACUGUGGAGACAACCUGCCUGCCCCACAAAGACACCACCUGCCCCCACAGAGCCCACCUGCCCCCCAAAGAACUCCCCUGUCCCCACAGAGCCCGCCGGCUCUCCCCGUCUGCCUCCUCCUGCACCACCCCUGCAAAGGAACGCGUCUGAUCUCCCAGGCUGUGCAGGGAGCCCAGGCAGGAAUAGUGGCAAGUGAGGACAGGUUUAGCACAGGGCACGGGCUGCAGUCAGCGCUUGGUUUGCAGACUAAUGGCAUUUCAUGAGCUGCCCUGUCCCACCAGUGCUCAGCAGUGAUCCCCACCCCAGUUCCAGGGUCUGCUCCCAAACUGCUCCCCUGAGGUGAUACCAGAGCUCCCCAGAGCUUGGCUCAUCCCAGUCUGAGCUGAGCAGGUACAUUGGAGGCGUCUCCUUGCCCUGAUGUGCUGCAGAUAUUGGGUUUCUGCACUGCAGCAGGACUGAUGUUCUUUGGGGUCCCUGAUGGGAUGGGGCAGGGGGCUGGCAGCAGGUACCAAAGGCUGCUCUGAGCAGUGCUGGGAGGGACCAGCCAGAGCAGGCAGAGGUGUGGGCGCUGUGCCUGGGGCUGUGCUGGAGCCAGCCCUCCCUUAGGAGCUCACAUGGAGCCUCCACAGGCAGCAGAUCAAAAGCGCCUCUUGCCCUGCUCCCCAUCCCUGAUGUUUUGUUAUUUGCCCUGCUAAUAAGGGCUGAAUUAAUGCACUUGGUCCUUGAUUGAUGUUUCACUCCCCCAGCAGCCCACACUGGCUGAUGCUGCUCAGUUCAGCAGUGCCAAAUUGUAGAAGUGGAGAUCAGCUCUCACUUAACCAGACGUGAGAGGGCAAAAAUAGUAAUAAACACUCCAAAAGCCACAGGCUGAGCUCUGCAGGAACCAGGUCUGGUUGUACAACACAAUAGUCUGUCACUUGAAGAGACUUCUCCAUGACAGGCCCAUAAAAGUCUCCUUGGCAGAUGAGACCAGACUAAUUGCUUUAUAAAAUCAGAUGAAUGGACCAUCUAAUGCAUCUGCUGGAGACAAACCCAACUGCUUUAUGGGACACUGUAAGGGGCAAGUACAGGGAGUGUCCCCAUUAAUGGAAUUCCUGCUUAUUGCUUCACAAUUAAUGGGGCUUCAGAGCAUAAAGGUUUAUAUCCUCUAUAUCAUUCCCACAUGCUUUCAUUUCAUACAUCUGCAUCCCAUCCAUGCUGUGUUCUGCAGGCUGUGGGACUUUGGUGAUCUCCUGUUUCCAAAAUUUCCACUCUACAGGGACCUGCAGUUGGUGUAGCUGAUAGCAACAACAGGGAUUUUCAAAGCCUCAUUUUGACCAUUUCUUGCUGUUCCUACAGCACUGCAGAAGUCAUUUCCAUUUCAAGCCCACACUUGGAGCCAAGCUGAACACCACCAUCAGUGUGAUUCCAGGUGCCCAGACUGUGUGUACUGUUAGGAGAUAAUUAUGACACCUAACAAAAAUGAUGGCAGCAAGAUUCAGAGCAGCAGAUUUUGUUCCUAUUUUUGAGACAGUGUUUUUUUGCAGCCACAUCCUGCCUCAGGCAGUUUUCCACAGGAAUUAAGCAAUCAAUUAAUCAAUGUCCUUAACAUUUUGCAGCUUCCUGCUCCUUCCACAGCUUAUUUUGACCUUUUACUGGUGAUACAUGUCAAACAUGGCAGAAUUCAGAACACAAGGAGUGCCUGGAUCACUUCCAUGAUGGAUUUACCACUGUUCCAUCAGUGGGGAGUUGCAGUAGGCUGUGUGGCUCUGGGCUGUUUUGGACAGUUUAAUUUGCUUCUGAGCUGUGAUACACUGCUCAGACCUUUCACAUUCAGGUUAAUAAACCAAGUCUCUCCUAAA
Molecule: RNA transcript, 5974 nt
Organism: Haemorhous mexicanus (house finch)
Lineage: Eukaryota; Metazoa; Chordata; Aves; Passeriformes; Fringillidae
Gene name: G-protein coupled receptor 83-like
Exons: 5
Source: RefSeq, a predicted model, not a curated record